AAAUUGAAGAGUUUGAUCAUGGCUCAGAUUGAACGCUGGCGGCAGGCCUAACACAUGCAAGUCGAGCGGAAACGAGUUAUCUGAACCUUCGGGGAACGAUAACGGCGUCGAGCGGCGGACGGGUGAGUAAUGCCUAGGAAAUUGCCCUGAUGUGGGGGAUAACCAUUGGAAACGAUGGCUAAUACCGCAUGAUGCCUACGGGCCAAAGAGGGGGACCUUCGGGCCUCUCGCGUCAGGAUAUGCCUAGGUGGGAUUAGCUAGUUGGUGAGGUAAGGGCUCACCAAGGCGACGAUCCCUAGCUGGUCUGAGAGGAUGAUCAGCCACACUGGAACUGAGACACGGUCCAGACUCCUACGGGAGGCAGCAGUGGGGAAUAUUGCACAAUGGGCGCAAGCCUGAUGCAGCCAUGCCGCGUGUGUGAAGAAGGCCUUCGGGUUGUAAAGCACUUUCAGUCGUGAGGAAGGCGUUGUAGUUAAUAGCUGCAUCGUUUGACGUUAGCGACAGAAGAAGCACCGGCUAACUCCGUGCCAGCAGCCGCGGUAAUACGGAGGGUGCGAGCGUUAAUCGGAAUUACUGGGCGUAAA
RNAcentral lists this ribosomal RNA (584 nucleotides) under Vibrio diabolicus. RNAcentral describes it as "bacterial SSU rRNA". It matches the Rfam family "Bacterial small subunit ribosomal RNA", at positions 1 to 564 of the family's 1533-position model. The record is from RNAcentral. Lineage: Bacteria; Pseudomonadati; Pseudomonadota; Gammaproteobacteria; Vibrionales; Vibrionaceae.